UAUGAAGAUCUAAAGCCACCAACAUCUCCUACUCCAACCCCUAGCGUCGGGACAGGUUCGACCAAAGAGAGCAAAGCCAUGUCAACAGUGGUAGCAAAUGAUUCACCAUCUUCUUCUUCCGAAAUUAAUUCUUCAGAAAGCUCAAUCCCUGACACGGAUAGCACAACUCAACGGACAGACAAAAAGAAAACAACUCCUUCCUCUCCUUAUAUAUUGUAAGCUCAUUCACAGCCUCCACUUUAAUUUUCACUGUUGUUGACUUUAUAUAAGAUGUAAAGACACCCCAGAAUCUUUCAAGUAGAAUCAUCAUGGUCCACAGUAUUACGGAAUUUCAGAUUCAUGGUGGCAGAAUCCGAUAGGC
RNAcentral lists this long non-coding RNA (361 nucleotides) under Nicotiana tabacum (common tobacco). Its description in RNAcentral is "long non-coding RNA (NTAB_LNC006858)". Lineage: Eukaryota; Viridiplantae; Streptophyta; Magnoliopsida; Solanales; Solanaceae. The record is from RNAcentral.